UUCAUACAUUCUUAAAAAAUAUAUAUAUAAUAUAGUCUUAUUUAUCUAGAAUAGUAUCUAAUUUUUUUAUAAUUUUAAAAAUACUUAAUAUAUUUCUGGUUGAUCAAAGUAUUUUUAUUAAUUUUUUUUUAAAAUUUAAAAUAUUCUUCAGAAUUUAUUAAUUAGAUUUUGAGUUUAGAAAAAUAUUUUGUAAAUGAAAGGAUAAAUUUAAAAAUUUUAAAUAGUAAUCGAGCCCUUAUCUAUUUUGGGGUUGAGAAUUUGUUAUUAGUCGUAUUAAUGUGAUCAAUGAAUCUCAUUUUAGUUUUAAGAUGAAUGCAGUGUAAAAUGAAAAUCUCUUUACGGGUGUACACAUAAUGUAUCUAAAGAAAGAACCAUUAUAAUGAAUUAGUCGUUCCACUAUUGUCGUUUUCAAAUCGCUCUCUCAUUUUAUUUAUCUAUUCAUACUAUUUUAUCCUCUAGUUUAUAUGAUUUUACUCAAUUAUAUAAAUAAUUUUAGAAAAUAUUUCAAAUAUAAUCCUUACGAUUUUGUACUUUUUCACUUUAGUACUCUGUAGUUUAAAGUGUAUCAUUUUUAUACUCUAUAAUUUUAUUUUUCUCUUUUUAUUAUCCCCUUCACUAAUUUUCUUCGUUAAAUUAGUGACAAAAUUAAAACUAAAGGGUAUUCAUAUGAAUAUUCAAGAAAUUAUAGGUGAGGUAUCUAAAAUUUUUUAUAUGUGAUUUAAUGAAAAGUUAACAGAGGGGCUGAUGACAAAAAAAAAAAUGAAAUUAUAGAGUAUUAAAUUGAUACACUUUAAACUAUAGAAUAUUAAAGUGAGAAAGUACGAAACCACAUGGAUAGUAUUUGAAGUUUACCCAUAAUUUUAAUAUAUUACAAAAUUUAACUAAUUUUUAUUUUAAAAAACUAAAACAAUUAAUUAUUAACCACC
Molecule: long non-coding RNA, 926 nt
Filed under: Ananas comosus (pineapple)
Lineage: Eukaryota; Viridiplantae; Streptophyta; Magnoliopsida; Poales; Bromeliaceae
Description: long non-coding RNA (ACOM_LNC024242)
Source: RNAcentral